This 433-nucleotide ribosomal RNA is filed under the name uncultured bacterium. RNAcentral describes it as "partial 16S ribosomal RNA". It matches the Rfam family "Bacterial small subunit ribosomal RNA", at positions 29 to 507 of the family's 1533-position model. The record is from RNAcentral.
AGCGAACGCUGGCGGCAGGCCUAACACAUGCAAGUCGAACGGAUCCUUCGGGAUUAGUGGCGGACGGGUGAGUAACACGUGGGAACGUGCCCUUUGGUUCGGGACAACUCAGGGAAACUUGAGCUAAUACCGGAUGUGCCCUUCGGGGGAAAGAUUUAUCGCCAUUGGAGCGGCCCGCGUCUGAUUAGCUAGUUGGUGAGGUAACGGCCCACCGAGGCGACGAUCAGUAGCUGGUCUGAGAGGAUGAUCAGCCACACUGGGACUGAGACACGGCCCCGACUCCUACGGGAGGCAGCAGUGGGGAAUCUUGCGCAAUGGGCGAAAGCCUGACGCAGCCAUGCCGCGUGAAUGAUGAAGGUCUUAGGAUUGUAAAAUUCUUUCAGCGGGGACGAUAAUGACGGUACCCGCAGAAGAAGCUCCGGCUAACUUCGUG